AACGAACGCUGGCGGCAGGCUUAACACAUGCAAGUCGAACGCCCGGCCAGGGGGGUGGCUCCUGGGUGAGUAACGCGUGGAUAUUUGCCUUUUGGUUCGGAAUAACCCCGGGAAACUGGGGCUACUACCGGAUGGUUCCUAUGGGAUAAAGAAUUAUCGUGAAAAGAGGAGUCCGCGUACGAUUAGCUAGUUGGCGAGGUAAUGUCUCACCAAGGCGACGAUCGUUAGCUGGUCUGAGAGGACGAUCAGCCACACUGAAACUAAGACACGGCCCAGACUCCUACGCGAAGCAGCAGUGGGGAAUAGUGGACAAUGGCGGCAACCCUGAUCCAGCCAUGCCGCGAGAGUGAUGAAAGCCUGCAGGUUGUAAAGCGCUUUUGGCGGGGCCGAUGAUGACGGUACCCGCAGAAAAAGCCCCGGCUAACUUCGUG
RNAcentral lists this ribosomal RNA (431 nucleotides) under uncultured bacterium. RNAcentral's name for it is "partial 16S ribosomal RNA". It matches the Rfam family "Bacterial small subunit ribosomal RNA", at positions 29 to 507 of the family's 1533-position model. The record is from RNAcentral.